This 116-nucleotide non-coding RNA is filed under the name marine sediment metagenome. The record is from RNAcentral. RNAcentral also lists the same sequence under 1 other name.
GAGGGAAGGCCCCUCAAAGCCGGCUUGCAGGAGCAGGCUUUAAACCACCUCAAGCUGCAGGGGUUAAGAGCCGGUGUAGUGAGCGUUGAGGAAAAGGCAGGAAGAAACCUGUCAGG